UUAUCAACCGAAAAGUUUAACAAGAAGUUACGCCUUUUUUCAGAAAAAAAUGACGGUCUUGUUUUAUGAUGUCACCUUUCAAUUUAAAAUCGAGAAUCAACAGGAAGAGCGCGUUUAGCAGAAAGUGAAGCUCGUCUCCUUAGGGGUGAAAGCUGCUCUUACUCUCUACAAAAUGAAGAGAUUGCUGAUUCUUUUCUGUGUUUGUGCUCUUGUCCUGUCGUCGGUCUGGGCUAGCGAGGACAAAAUAACACCUUCCACAAGUAGCCAGAAAGCAUUGGCAUCUUCUACAACUAUCAAGGUAAGGAAGCAAUAUUUAUUUUAGUAAGUGAUUAAAAUGAGAAGUCACACUAUAUUGCCAAAAGUAUUGGGACACCUGCCUUUACACACACAUGAACUUUAAUGACAUCCCAUUCUUAAUACAUAGGCUUUAAUAUGGAGUUGGCCCACCCUUUGCAGCUAUAACAGCUUCAACACUUCUGGGAAGGCUUUCCACAAAGUUUCGGAGUGUGUUCAUGGGGAUUUUUGACCAUUCGUUCAGGCAGCAUUUGUGAGGUCAGACAUUGAUGUUGGAUGAAAAGGCCUGGCUUGCAGCCUCUGCUCUAAUUCAUUCCAAAGGUGUUCUAUCAGGUUGAGGUCAGGGGUCUGUGCAGGCCAGUCAAGUUCCUCCACCCCAUACUCGCUCAUCCAUUUCUUUAUAGACCUUGCUUUGUGCACUGGUACGCAGUCAUGUUGGAACAGGAAGGGGUCACCCCCAAACUGUUCCCACAAAGUUGAGAGCAUGAAAUUGUCCAAAAUGGCUUUGUAUGCGGAAGCAUUAAGAGUUCCUUUCAUGGGAACUAAGGGGCCAAGCCCAACCUCUGAAAAACAACCCCACACCAUAAUCCACCCUCCACCAAACUUUACACCUGGCACAAUGUAGUCAGGCAAGUACUGUUCUUCUGGCAACCACCAAACCCAGACUCAUUCAUUAGAUUGCCAGACAGAGAAGCAUGAUUCGUCACUCCAGAGGACAUGUCUCCAAUGCUCUAGAGCGCAGUGGCGGUGUGCUUAACACCACUGCAUCCAACGCUUUACAUUGCACUUGAUGAUGUAAGGCUUGGAUGCAGCUGCUCUCCAUGUAAACCCAUUCCAUGAAGCUCUCUACUCACUUUUCUGGAGCUUUUGGAGGUCUGCAGCUAUUGACUUCGCAGAAAGUGCCUUAUGUUCUUUUUUUUAAAUCCUUGCUGGUGUACAUUACUUUGUUCAAGUAUCCAUAGGUAUGUAAUGUGCUCAGAAUAGUGUGUGUAGCAUGAUUGUAUGAGUGCACAGUAGGUGCUUGGCUUGCUAUCAGAUACAAUGGCUUGUUAAACAUUAAUUUUAAGUCUAAUACAUUGCAGAGUUUUUCAGAAACAUUCCCAGAACCUUGGAGCUCAGUGUGAUGUAUGUACCUAAAUCAGCAGAACUGUCAAUAAUCUCUAUCUCUCUGUUUCUCUUUUUAUUUAGGGUCCCAUAAGCUCAGCUUGUGCUGUAAUGGUAAAUGUGGCCUUUACUCUCAUGCCGCUUGUUUUCCUGAGACUCUUCUAGGCACUCCAUAUGUAGUUCCUAUAUACGUGCUGCAAAGUGAUCCAUCUGUGAGGAGGUUCUCAUAGUGGGAUGACCCCAGUCUGCAAGAUACUGCAAACCAUUAAGUACACAGCACUGUAUUGUAAAAUGCAAAUCUCCAUGCAUGUUAUUGGUGUUACAUUAGCCUUGAAAACAUGUCAAUUUUAAGAAAGUUUGGCAUUGAGUCACCGUCAUAAAGUUGGUAAUUGGGGUUACUGUCCCCACUUUCUUUUUGCUGUGGAGGUGAUUGCAAUACCUCUUCCAAUAAAUGAUUCUUCUGCUG
Molecule: long non-coding RNA, 1864 nt
Organism: Erpetoichthys calabaricus (reedfish)
Lineage: Eukaryota; Metazoa; Chordata; Cladistia; Polypteriformes; Polypteridae
Exons: 3
Source: RefSeq, a predicted model, not a curated record